Long non-coding RNA from Mastomys coucha (southern multimammate mouse), 350 nucleotides. RefSeq lists it as uncharacterized. The transcript has 3 exons. The record is from RefSeq and is a predicted model, not a curated record. Lineage: Eukaryota; Metazoa; Chordata; Mammalia; Rodentia; Muridae.
AAGAAGUACCACUCCAUGACCUAUUUCAGUUCCUGAUUUGAGUCACUGCCUUGACUUCUCAGGAGGAUGGACUACAAACUAAUAUUGAGGGCUUGAGGAAAUACUAUGAAUCUCUCCAAUGAACUAUGGAUUACCUUAAAAGGCUUGGCAACAGAGUCGUGGGACAGGAAGUCUGCACUGUAUGCUAGCCUGCUGGGAAUUAGCCCUCAGAAACAAAUCCAACCACUCUUGUGAGUCAUGACAUUAAAAAUGAUGAAGAGAAUGGACGGGAGAAUGGUGGAGAAAUACCAAGUAAUGCAUGAUUUUCAGAAUCCCUAGAGGCUUGGAAAGAACAAGGAAGAUAAUCAGAA